CAAAAUCUGAGAUUGAUCCUGGCUCAGAAGGAACGCUAGCUAUAUGCUUAACACAUGCAAGUUGAACGUUCUUUUCGGGGAGCUGGGAAGAAGGAAAAGAGACUCCUAACUAAAGUUGUCUCGCCCUGCUUCAAAACUACAGGGCGCGCGCUACGGCUUUGACCUAACGGCCUCCGUUUGCUGGAAUCGAAAUAGUUGAGAACAAAGUGGCGAACGGGUGCGUAACGCGUGGGAAUCUACCGAACAGUUCGGGCCAAAUCCUGAAGAAAGCUCAAAAGCGCUGUUUGAUGAGCCUGUGUAGUAUUAGGUAGUUGGUCAGGUAAAGGCUGACCAAGCCAACGACGCUUAGCUGGUCUUUUCGGAUGAUUGGCCACACUGGGACUGAGACACGACCCAGACUCCCACGGGGGACAGCAGUGGGGAAUCUUGGCCAAUGGGCGAAAGCCCGAUCCAGCAAUAUCGCGCGAGUGAAGAAGGGCAAUGCCGCUUGUAAAGCACUUUCGUCGAGUUCGCGAUCAUGACAGGACUCGAGGAAGAAGCCCCGGCUAACUCCGUGCCAGAAGCCGCAGUAAGACGGGGGGGCAAGUGUUCUUUGGAACGACUCGGCGUAAAGGGCAUGUAGGCGGUGGAUCGGGUUGAAAGUGAAAGUCGCCAAAAAGUGGCGGAAUGCUCUCGAAACCAAUUCACUUGAGUGAGACAGAGGAGAGUGGAAUUUCGUGUGCAGGGGUGAAAUUCGUAGAUCUACGAAGGAACGCCAAAAGCGAAGGCAGCUCUCUGGGUGCCUACCGACGCUGGGGUGCGAAAGCAUGGGGAGCGAACAGAAAUAGAUACCCUGGUAGUCCAUGCUGUAAAUGAUGAGUGUUUGCCCUUGGUCUACGCGGAUCAGGGGCCCAGCUAACGCGUGAAACACUCCGCCUGGGGAGUACGGUCGCAAGACCGAAACUCAAAGGAAUUGACGGGGGCCUGCACAAGCGGUGGAGCAUGUGGUUUAAUUCGAUACAACGCGCAAAACCUUACCAGCCCUUGACAUAUGAACAACAAAACCUGUCCUUAAUAGGAUGGUACUGACUUUCAUACAGGUGCUGCAUGGCUGUCGUUAGCACGUGUCGUGAGAUGUUUGGUCUAGUCCCAUAACGAGCAAAACUCUCGUUUUGUGUUGCUGAGACAUGAAAUUGCCACCGAGUGACGUGCCAGCGCUACUACUUGAUUGAGUGUCAACACGUAGCUGUGCUUUCAGCAAGAAUUUCACCAUUGGGAGCCAGUGCCUUUCGAAGCACUUUCACGUGUGAACCAAAGUCUUCUUGCGCAAGACCCACGGAGACCUACCUAUAGUGACAUCAAAAUACCAGUGAGCAUGGAGGUUUGGUUGAAAUUGGUAACGACGACGUCGAGUUGGCGGCGGAGGAAGACUCUGCAUGAAGGCCAGAAAAUGGUGUGGAACGUAGUGGUAAUAGUACGCGCCCCGCUCCGAAACAAAGAAAAAGGUGCGUGCCGCACUCAUGAGGGACUGCAGUGACAUACUGGAGAAAGGUGGGGAUGACGUCAAGUCCGCAUGGCCCUUAUGGGCUGGGCCACACACGUGCUACAAUGGCAAUGACAAUGGGAAGCAAGGCUGUAAGGCGGAGCGAAUCCGGAAAGAUUGCCUCAGUUCGGAUUGUUCUCUGCAACUCGGGAACAUGAAGUUGAAAUCGCUAGUAAACACGGAUUAGCAUGCCGCGGUGAAUAUGUGCCCGGGCCCUAUACACACUGCCCGUCACACCCUAGGAAUUGGUUUUGCCCGAAACAUCGGACCAAUGAUCACCCAUGACUUCUGUGUACCACUAGUGCCAUAAAGUCCUUUGGUAGUCUUAUUGGCGCAUACCACGGUGGGGUGUUCGACUAGAGUGAAGUCGUAACAAGAUAGCCGUAGGGGAACCUGUGGCUAGAUUGAAUCCUUC
Triticum aestivum (bread wheat) is the source of this 1937-nucleotide non-coding RNA. The record is from Rfam. NCBI's taxonomy places the organism in Eukaryota, Viridiplantae, Streptophyta, Magnoliopsida, Poales, Poaceae.